AUGGCCCUGAGUCAAGGCCAGUAGUUUUCUGAAGUCACUGGUUUCAAGCAGGAGUCUAAGGUGGUAUCUUUCUAUGGUCUGUUGGCCAUUUCAGAAAUUCAGAAAUGUUACAGUCAAAUCAUUAGAGAGAAACAACU
Small nucleolar RNA from Cavia porcellus (domestic guinea pig), 137 nucleotides. The record is from Ensembl. Lineage: Eukaryota; Metazoa; Chordata; Mammalia; Rodentia; Caviidae.